RNAcentral lists this ribosomal RNA (468 nucleotides) under uncultured bacterium. RNAcentral describes it as "partial 16S ribosomal RNA". It matches the Rfam family "Bacterial small subunit ribosomal RNA", at positions 28 to 507 of the family's 1533-position model. The record is from RNAcentral.
GACGAACGCUGGCGGCGUGCUUAACACAUGCAAGUCGAACGGAAAGGCCCUGCUUUUGUGGGGGGCUCGAGUGGCAAAGGGGUGAGUAACACGUGAGUAACCUGCCCUUGACUUUGGGAUAACUUCAGGAAACUGGGGCUAAUACCGGAUAGGAGCUCCUGAUGCAUGGGGGGGGUUGGAAAUUUUAGGCGGUUGUGGAUGGAUGCCAGGCUUAUCAGCUUGUUGGGGGGGGAGUGGCAUACCAAGCGUUUGAAAGGUAGCCCGCAUGGGAGGGGGACCGGCCACAUUGGGCCUGCGGUAGGGCCCAGUGGGCAAUGGUGGGCAGCGGUCGGGAAUAUUGCACAGUGGUCCGAAGUCUGUUACGGCAGCGCCGCGUGCGUGAUGACGGCUUGGGGGUUGUGAACCGCUUUGGCCUGAGACGAAGCUUGAGUGACGGUAAUGGGUAAAGAAGCACCGGCUAACUACGUG